This 1262-nucleotide long non-coding RNA is filed under the name Anas platyrhynchos platyrhynchos (common mallard). Its description in RNAcentral is "lncRNA (ENSAPLG00000019810.1)". The record is from RNAcentral. Lineage: Eukaryota; Metazoa; Chordata; Aves; Anseriformes; Anatidae.
AGUAGUAGUGAGCGUUGUCCAAGAGGUGGGUAUCAGGGCUGGCGUGCUAGUGAAUGCUGGUUCUCUGUUUUUGCAAGUGAUGAUGAACCUGUUUGAGCUAAUUCCAUUUGAGAAAGUUCCAGUUACUGGCCUGGUCGUGUCGUCCUUUCAAUGUUAAAAACUGCAGCAAAAGCAUGGGGAUUGUUGCUUCUAGAAACACCCCAGGUCUCUUGUCUGCUCUCUGCAUAUUGUUCAAGUAAAGCAGAUUUAAAAAAAUAAUAAUAAAGAAAACGAAAACCAACUGCUGCUGCUCCUGCUUUCUUUCUACUUCCUUGUGCUUUGCCCCUCCCCUUUUCCAGGUGAUUGGGUUUGGGUGCUGGGCGGGGCCAAAUGGUAUAUCAGCCCCAGGCAUGCCAUCAGAGAGCUCCUUCUGCCUGGGCUGCUCCUUGGGGGUAGAUGCAGCAUUGCCAAGAGACUGAGCAGCGAUGUAUCAGAGUUACCUCUUUCAUCUGCAAAGGGUGCUUUGUGCAGUCGUGGACAGGGAAGGGAUAUCCUCCUGUGAUGGAGCUCUGAGGGAAGGUGAGUGUUGCCAGCCUGGUUGUGCCUUAUCCGAAGCGAAGACGCUCAGGUGUUUCUCUGUGAGGGUCGGAGGUGAGGCCGUUUGGGAUAGAGGAGCAGUGUGGCAGGUGGUUGCUUGCAAGCACAGUGGUCGUUUUGUCCUUUUGUGUUCCCAGGUGUUGUGGAUGAUGGUGGCCGCUCCUUUCAAGCUUGGACCUAAUUUGCAAGUAUAGAGGCAAGUGGAGUGCUGUUUUGAAAGGAUAAAAGUAAAGCUGGGGUCGCUUAUGUUGUUGAGGGAUGGGUGCUACCGCUGGCAGCUGAAUGUUUAUCUUCUGCCUGUGUCUUUCCUUUGUUCAUGUUGAAAUGCAGCGUGCAGUGCGCAGUGCAGGACGUCUCGACCCGAGCUGCCUCUGCAGUGACUCUGAUGCGUGAUAAGCUGAGGUAGCUGUUAUUUUUGGGGUGCGGUUGUUACUGCAGUUAUUUUCCUUCGUUCAAUAGAGUAAAAUUCCAGUUUGCCUUUUAGAAGUGCUGUAAGUGGCUAAUGAGAACAGAUGGAAGCAUCUGCUAUGUGGGGCAGGCAAGCGGCUGAGGUACAGGAGGGGAUGAAAGUAUGUGAUUUUUUUCUGGGGAUGGAAUGGAAUUGAUUUUGUUGGUGUAUAAUCUGUUCUGAUCCUGGAUUUUUCUUUCUAAGUUUAAAAAUAAUAAUAAAAUUUGAGCUAAUACCA